Molecule: long non-coding RNA, 1169 nt
Organism: Sesamum indicum (sesame)
Lineage: Eukaryota; Viridiplantae; Streptophyta; Magnoliopsida; Lamiales; Pedaliaceae
Source: RefSeq, a predicted model, not a curated record
AACAACAGGAAGAAAACCCGUUUCCACUCAAUUUGUAAAUUUUUACGGUUUUUACGGUAAUUUUGUAAGUUAAGAAUGUCAAGAAACUUACCGAAGAUCAUUCAAGAUCCUCUCCCGCCACCAUGCAACCGCCUUAACAAGGUGAAACGCCACCGCUCUAUCUCAACAUUCCCCGAGUUAUAAUGGUUCAUGAUGAUUUAAAGAGUAUGGAUUGAUGCUGUUCUUUGAUAGCUUUGUUUUUGCUUCCUGAAACUGGAGGAGGGAUAUUCAGACAUAGGUUGAUCAUGCUUCCUCUAAUGCCAUUCACCAGUGUUUAACUGUUCAAUUAAUGGAUGCCAAAUCAAUGAAGCUGAUGAUGAUGAUCUUUGAAUUUCUGAGAUUAUUUAUGUAGGCUAUUGAAAGUCAGGUUCAAUUGUUUAAUUAUUUGAAGCUGUAUUUUCUCGUUGUUAUGUUAUGCACAAAAUUGUAGCAGGGAUAAAUCUGCUACCAGCUGAAAUCAUUAUUUAUGCUUUUGGUUUGUUUGGUUGGAGAUAUGGGUUGCUGAUUGGGUCGUCUGAGUGCUUUCCAUUCGGGGAUUCUGAACUUCGAAUAAAUUGCUGAGUUGUGACAAAUGAAGUGUUAUAAAUACACCUUGAAACAGUUCAGGUCCCUUCCAAGUUCAAACACCUCCAUUUAUAUGAUAAUUCAGUUGAUCAAUUUAAGGAUAUGGAUUGUUGCUCCUGGGGUUAUGGAGCAUGCUGAUCAUAGAUUCAUCUGGUUUUACCCAAUUCAUUCUAUGCAUCCACCAUUACAUAUAUGCUUAAUGUUGCUAGCUCAUGACGAGGGUGCCAAAGACCUCAAUUGCGCAUGGUGGUCCGAUGUUUGUCGACAUGAUUAGUGGUCCGAUAUUUUGUCGACAUGUUUGGUGGUCCAGUCACAAGAGUGCCAGGCUUUGAGAGUUCUGUAUUUCAAGAGCUUCAGAGUCUGAAAGAUGAGCUACUGUGCUUGUCCCAAUCCAUUAUUUCGUGAAUGAAGAUUUUGCAAUUUCAUGCUUGUGGAACUCCUCGAAUUCAUGCAUGACGAACCCAUUUGCAGUGCCAAACCCGAACCCUACAUGGAACCGAUGGAUUGUAACUGGAACUUCCAUGUCAAACUGAUGGUAGGAUCUUGCCGGACUGUCUGUCAGGUGC